Pelobates cultripes (western spadefoot toad) is the source of this 227-nucleotide non-coding RNA. NCBI's taxonomy places the organism in Eukaryota, Metazoa, Chordata, Amphibia, Anura, Pelobatidae. The record is from the annotation of a GenBank genome assembly.
GAAGUUUCACUGCUCAAUUCUCUGCCAUUUAGGAGUUAAAUCACUUUGUGUCUGUUUAUGCAGCCUUAGCCACACCUCCUUUGGCUGUGACUGACAGCCUGCAUUGAAAAAAACAAAAAAACUGUUUCAUUUUCAAUCAGAUGUAACUUAUAUUAAAAGAUUUUAUCUCCUGCUCUGUAAAUUGAACUUUAAUCACAUACAGGAGGUUCCUGCAGGGUCUAGCAAGC